Molecule: ribosomal RNA, 400 nt
Filed under: uncultured bacterium
Lineage: Bacteria
Description: bacterial SSU rRNA
Rfam family: Bacterial small subunit ribosomal RNA
Source: RNAcentral
UGGGGAAUAUUGGACAAUGGGGGAAACCCUGAUCCAGCAAUGCCGCGUGAGUGAAGAAGGCCUUCGGGUUGUAAAGCUCUUUUACCUGGGAAGAUAAUGACUGUACCGGGAGAAUAAGCCCCGGCUAACUCCGUGCCAGCAGCCGCGGUAAUACGGAGGGGGCUAGCGUUGUUCGGAAUUACUGGGCGUAAAGCGCACGUAGGCGGCUUUGUAAGUCAGAGGUGAAAUCCCGGAGCUUAACUUCGGAAUUGCCUUUGAGACUGCAAGGCUUGAGUGUGGGAGAGGUAAGUGGAAUUCCAAGUGUAGAGGUGAAAUUCGUAGAUAUUUGGAAGAACACCAGUGGCGAAGGCGGCUUACUGGACCACAACUGACGCUGAGGUGCGAAAGCGUGGGGAGCAAA